UGGGAAUGUACCUCUCGGUUCGGAAUAACCCAGGGAAACUUGGGCUAAAACCGGAUACGCCCUUACGGGGAAAGAUUUAUCGCCGAGAGAUCAGCCCGCGUCCGAUUAGCUAGUUGGUGGGUAAUGGCCCACCAAGGCGACGAUCGGUAGCUGGUCUGAAAGGAUGAUCAGCCACACUGGGACUGAGACACGGCCCAGACUCCUACGGGAGGCAG
This 215-nucleotide ribosomal RNA is filed under the name uncultured bacterium. RNAcentral's name for it is "partial 16S ribosomal RNA". It matches the Rfam family "Bacterial small subunit ribosomal RNA", at positions 118 to 351 of the family's 1533-position model. The record is from RNAcentral.